This 253-nucleotide ribosomal RNA is filed under the name uncultured bacterium. Its description in RNAcentral is "partial 16S ribosomal RNA". It matches the Rfam family "Bacterial small subunit ribosomal RNA", at positions 524 to 776 of the family's 1533-position model. The record is from RNAcentral.
UACAGGGGGGGCAAGCGUUGUUCGGAAUUACUGGGCGUAAAGGGCUCGUAGGUGGCCAACUAAGUCGGACGUGAAAUCCCUCAGCUUAACUGGGAACUGCGUCCGAUACUGGAUGGCUUGAGUUUGGGAGAGGGAUGCGGAAUUCCCGGUGUAGAGGUGAAAUUCGUAGAUAUCGGGAGGAACACCAGUGGCGAAGGCGGCGAUCAUGGGAAGAUACUGACGCUGAGGUGCGAAAGCGUGGGGAGCAAACAGG